AUUUAUAAAUAAACUUUUAGAAAUAUGUUUUUAGCAAUUUAAAAGUAAAGGCUGAAAAAAAAACUAAGCUGAAAAAACAUCAAAAUCAACUCUAAAUUGAAGAUUGAAAAUUUAUACUUUGGUUUAUGAGCAUAGGCAGAAAUGAAAAAAUGCGCCGUAAAUAGAUAUAGCAAUAACAUGCUUCAAACAAAAGGCCAUUAACACUCAAAUAGCGGGAUUAAUUUCAAUAUGUUUCUAGCUAAUAAAUUUGAAUAGUAAAAGAAAAAACUUUGAGAGCCGAUGUAUUGGAUAGAAAGGAACUGAGCAAAGUUGCAGCGUAAGGAAC
RNAcentral lists this long non-coding RNA (325 nucleotides) under Oryza brachyantha (malo sina). RNAcentral's name for it is "long non-coding RNA (OBRA_LNC001429)". Lineage: Eukaryota; Viridiplantae; Streptophyta; Magnoliopsida; Poales; Poaceae. The record is from RNAcentral.